This 497-nucleotide ribosomal RNA is filed under the name uncultured bacterium. RNAcentral describes it as "partial 16S ribosomal RNA". It matches the Rfam family "Bacterial small subunit ribosomal RNA", at positions 28 to 507 of the family's 1533-position model. The record is from RNAcentral.
GAUGAACGCUGGCGGCGUGCCUAAUACAUGCAAGUCGAGCGAACAGACGAGGAGCUUGCUCCUCUGACGGUAGCGGGGGACGGGUGAGUAACAUGGGGAUAACCUACCUAUAAGACUGGGAUAACUUCGGGAAACCGGAGCUAAUACCGGAUAAUAUAUUGAACCGCAUUGGUCAAUAGUUAAAGUCGGUUUUGCUGUCACUUAUAGAUGGAUCCGCGCCGCAUUAGCUAGUUGGUAAGGUAACGGCUUACCAAGGCAACGAUGCGUAGCCGCCCUGAGAGGGUCGUCCGCCACCCUGGAACUGAGAAACGGUACAGACUCCGACGGGGGGCAGCAGCAGAGAAUCUUACGCGAUGGACGAGUGCCUGACGUUGCACCGCCGGCUGAGUGCUGAAGCACUACGGAUCGGAAAACUAUGUUAUUAGGAGAGUAGAAAAGCGUAAGUACCUAUGCACAUCUUGACAGUACCUGGUCAGAAAGCCACGGCUAACUCCGUG